AUGGAAUUCCAAGCAUCCUUAAAAAUUAUUAGAUUCAGAUGUUCAAAUGUGGAAAUGUCCCUGAGACGUAUGAACCGGGAAGGCAGGAAGAGCAGAAGAAUGAACAGUAAAAAUCCACAUCGUAUAAAUACUAAAAGGGUUAUUUUCUGCUUGACCUCGGGUCACAGAGCUGCCAGAUGUGGUGAAGGAGGAGUCCCCCGGCAGCCAGGGCACGGGACAAAGCGCACGUCCCAGCCGAGCCCCGAGCACCCAGCCCAGGCUCGGGUCGAGGGUCACACCUCGGGGAACCUGGGCUCGCGGCGACCCGGCAGUGUGCAUGCGCAGAAGGACCGCCUGCGCGCUCAGAGUUGCUGGGUAGGAGUCCCUGCGUGGGAGUCCCGGCGAUCGCCUAGGGGCUGAGCGCUGUCCUAGCCCAGCUCUGGCAGGCGCCGCAUACGGCGUAUGGGACGCCUUCUCAAGCUGGGAUUUCUUAUCUAAGCCCACUCGCCAGCGGGCAUCCCCUGCCCCCAGAUAAUAAUCAGGAUGCGGAGACAGUGGGCCCUUUUCUCUUUUCUAUACGUUCCAAAGGUUUCACAAUGUGCCUGCGUUAUUUUUAUUAUCGUAGAAAUCUAUUUUACAAAAUGAAUCAUAGAUGUAAGUCUGUUCAUAUGAAGGCAUCAUAUCUACUGGAUUCUACAUGGCCGACCGCCUCUGCGUGCACUGAACCAAGGGGUGGCUGAGGAUUGUUUGACCUUUCCCGGGAGGAAGGGCUGGGCAGAGUGGGGACGGCAGGGGAGGCGAAGGACAGGGGGCGGAAAAGAGAAGAGCUGGGGUGCGCACAUGCUCUGUGUGUGUGUGUGUGUGUGUGUGUGUGUGUGUGCGCGCGCGCGCGCGCGCGCCCGCGCGCACUCAGUCGCUAAGUUGUGUCGUACUCUGCGACCGCAUGGACCGUAGCCCGCCAGGCUCCUCUCUCCAGAAAUUUUCCAGGCAAGAAUACUGGAGCGGGUUGCCAUUUCCUCUUCCAGGGGAUCUUCCCCCACAGGUCCACUUAACUGUAUUUUCCCACUCUCAUCGAUCUGCACAGAAUUUGCCGUGAAUCUGCUCUACUCACCUCCAUCUGGCUGAUUUUAUAAUGCUCUCACACUGAGUCUAUAUGCGAACAUUUACCCGGGAAGCCGGGAUACACCGGCGUGGUGACCCCUCCUGCGAGGCGCUAGAUGGCAGACGCGGCCAGGACAUCUCUGUGGUCACAGCCUCAGGUCCCAAGACGCCCAAGGAGGGGACUCGUCCCACCCGGCUGUGUGGCUGCACAGUGUGUCUAAAACCAUGUCGCCGCGUCAGUCUUCUCUCCAAGUUCUGCCUCUUGAUGAAAGAGAGAGAAAGAACCUACAACUUUAAGUCAGUGUUGGCCUCAUUAGGC
RNAcentral lists this long non-coding RNA (1399 nucleotides) under Bos indicus x Bos taurus (hybrid cattle). RNAcentral's name for it is "lncRNA (ENSBIXG00000012147.1)". Lineage: Eukaryota; Metazoa; Chordata; Mammalia; Artiodactyla; Bovidae. The record is from RNAcentral.